Peromyscus maniculatus bairdii (prairie deer mouse) is the source of this 496-nucleotide non-coding RNA. NCBI's taxonomy places the organism in Eukaryota, Metazoa, Chordata, Mammalia, Rodentia, Cricetidae. The record is from RefSeq and is a predicted model, not a curated record.
AAAAUGAAUAAAAUAAAAACAUACAAUGCUACCAACACAACUUGAAAAUAUUUACAGAACCCCUACCAUGUACCAGGGAGAAUGCUGAGCCUGGCCAUGAGACAGUCUAUAGACAGCUUCCACUCCAAAGGAGCUCCAACCAGGUUGGAACUAAGAAGUUUCAGGCCUCGAAGUCUGCCUUGGUUUCCUGGUGACUUGCUCCCAUCCUGAAGCUACUUAAAAAUAGCCAGCCAUCAUUCAACAUACUAGCACCCAAAUCGUACCAGUGUGGAGAAUGCAGGUCUUUCUUGAUGGAAACCUAUAUCUUCGAAUGCUUACAUUACCACAUAAAGAAAACUUUAAACACAAAGACCUAAAUUUGUGCUUUCAGAGUUCAGAUGCUGACUAAGGGCAGAGGAAGCAGCUCGGUGGUGGACCAUGUGUUUAGCAUGUGUGAAGCCCUUGGUUUGAGUCUUAGAAUCACCAGAGGGGUUGGGGUGGAUCCCAGGAGAAAACA